Molecule: transfer RNA, 83 nt
Filed under: Merluccius polli (Benguela hake)
Lineage: Eukaryota; Metazoa; Chordata; Actinopteri; Gadiformes; Merlucciidae
Description: tRNA-Ser
Rfam family: tRNA
About the family: Transfer RNA (tRNA) molecules are approximately 80 nucleotides in length. Their secondary structure includes four short double-helical elements and three loops (D, anti-codon, and T loops). Further hydrogen bonds mediate the characteristic L-shaped molecular structure. tRNAs have two regions of fundamental functional importance: the anti-codon, which is responsible for specific mRNA codon recognition, and the 3' end, to which the tRNAs corresponding amino acid is attached (by aminoacyl-tRNA synthetases). tRNAs cope with the degeneracy of the genetic code in two manners: having more than one tRNA (with a specific anti-codon) for a particular amino acid; and 'wobble' base-pairing, i.e. permitting non-standard base-pairing at the 3rd anti-codon position.
Source: RNAcentral
GCUGUGAUGGCUGAGUGGUAAAGGCGUUGGACUUGAAAUCCAAUGGGUAUUACCCGCGCAGGUUCAAAUCCUGCUCACAGCGA